UAAUCAUUCAGUGUGCUGGGACAGAGAAG
Molecule: non-coding RNA, 29 nt
Filed under: Homo sapiens (human)
Lineage: Eukaryota; Metazoa; Chordata; Mammalia; Primates; Hominidae
Source: RNAcentral